GAUGAACGCUGGCGGCGUGCCUAAUACAUGCAAGUCGAGCGAACAGACGAGGAGUUUGCUCCUCUGACGUUAGCGGCGGACGGGUGAGUAACACGUGGAUAACCUACCUAUAAGACUGGGAUAACUGCGGGAAACCGGAGCUAAUACCGGUUAAUAUAUUGAACCGCAUGGUUCAAUAGUGAAAGACGGUUUUGCUGUCACUUAUAGAUAGAUCCGCGCCGCAUUAGCUAGUUGAUAAGGUAACGGCUUACCAAGGCAACGAUGCGUAGCCGACCUGAGAGGGUGAUCGGCCACACUGGAACUGAGACACGGUCCAGACUCCUACGGGAGGCAGCAGUAGGGAAUCUUCCGCAAUGGGCGAAAGCCUGACGGAGCAACGCCGCGUGAGUGAUGAAGGUCUUCGGAUCGUAAAACUCUGUUAUUAGGGAAGAACAAAUGUGUAAGUAACUAUGCACGUCUUGACGGUACCUAAUCAGAAAGCCACGGCUAACUACGUGCCAGCAGCCGCAGUAA
This 513-nucleotide ribosomal RNA is filed under the name uncultured bacterium. Its description in RNAcentral is "partial 16S ribosomal RNA". It matches the Rfam family "Bacterial small subunit ribosomal RNA", at positions 28 to 523 of the family's 1533-position model. The record is from RNAcentral.